RNAcentral lists this ribosomal RNA (450 nucleotides) under uncultured bacterium. Its description in RNAcentral is "partial 16S ribosomal RNA". It matches the Rfam family "Bacterial small subunit ribosomal RNA", at positions 338 to 795 of the family's 1533-position model. The record is from RNAcentral.
CCUACGGGAGGCUGCAGUGGGGAAUUUUGGACAAUGGGGGCAACCCUGAUCCAGCCAUGCCGCGUGAGUGAAGAAGGCCUUCGGGUUGUAAAGCUCUUUCGGCCGGGAAGAAAUCGCUCAAGCUAAUACCUUGGGUGGAUGACGGUACCGGAAGAAGAAGCACCGGCUAACUACGUGCCAGCAGCCGCGGUAAUACGUAGGGUGCGAGCGUUGAUUGGAGUUACUGGGCGUAAAGCGUGAGGACGGAGGGGAAAGCCCCUGGCUUAACCUGGGAACUGCGUUUGUGACUGUGGUGCUCGAGUGCGGCAGAGGGGGGUGGAAUUCCACGUGUAGCAGUGAAAUGCGUAGAGAUGUGGAGGAACACCGAUGGCGAAGGCAGCCCCCUGGGUCGACACUGACGCUCAUGCACGAAAGCGUGGGGAGCAAACAGGAUUAGAUACCCCUGUAGUC